CCACAGUGAUUCUCAGAGCCAGCAAGAAGGAGAAAUGUCCCAAAAGGGAACAUCCGUCUCAGCCAUUUGCCUGGAGCUGAAGGUUGCGGGCUCCAGGCCUCUAGAAUGCAGACAGCCCUUCCAAGAGGCUUCCUGGUAUCUCGGGGACCCAUGAAGCUUCCGUAGAGAAUCCCAGACACAUUGCUUUGUGCUGUCGGUGUAGAUUCUGAGACUUAGAAUCUUGGGGUGUGAGUUUCCUCUUAUCAUCUGAAUUGGUCAAGACCGCACAGAAGUCCUACCCAUAAGCCCAUCAAUCAGAUAUCUGUUCCCUACAACGGACUCCUCCUGGUGGGAACUUCAAGGAGAUUUCGAGAAGGAGGUGGAAGGGUCAUUUUUUAUUACUGGGAUCUACAGGUUUCUAGCAGAAAGCUCUUAUUAACUCAUCUGACCCUCGAACAAUCCUCGAGGAGAACGAGAAGUCAAAUUGGCCAUGUUACAAAUGAGAGCGGCGCCUGGGUGGCUCAGUCGGUGGAGAGCCUGACCUCGGUUCGGGUCACGAUCUCAUGUUCAUGAGUUCGAGCCCCACGUCGGGCUCCCUGCUGUCAGAGCAGAGCCCGCUUUGGAUCCUCCUGUCUCCCUCUCUCUUUCAAAUCAAAUUUUUAAAAUUGCAAAUGAGAAAAUUGAGUGUUAGGAAAUUUAGCGGGUAGCACAGGUGGCAUUUGAACCCAGGUCUUUGGACCAUACCUCUUUUAUUGAAGUGGGGAAUCUGGA
This is a long non-coding RNA of Neofelis nebulosa (Clouded leopard), 750 nucleotides long. RefSeq lists it as uncharacterized. The record is from RefSeq and is a predicted model, not a curated record. The transcript has 4 exons. NCBI's taxonomy places the organism in Eukaryota, Metazoa, Chordata, Mammalia, Carnivora, Felidae.